AUCACCCACCGUUACUCGGUUGCGUGCGCUGCCACGGUGUGGGCGACUCAGUGUUCCGCGGGCCCGGGGCAUCAGCAGCUGAACUACCUUGCCGACGAGGGCGGGCGUGCCCUGAAGACCCGGUGCUUCUCCGUUGCUUGCAUGGCGCUCCACCUCGCGGCCAUAUAGAUCGGGCCAUCGUGAUCCUCCUCCUUGUUUUCCCACCGAGCCCAGCCGAAACCGCUCUACCAUUGUCGCCUCCAAGAUUCCACCCGCCAUUGUUGCCGAGAGUGGGACCUCGCCAGGAUUGGUGUGCCGCUCGAAUUGAGUAGGUCGGGGAGCUCCACUACGACUCGACGAGCGUGUCCACGGCCUUAUGUCAGGUUGGGUGCUCUUGUGCCCUUCUAAUUUCUCGUCGGAGCUCGGCUUGUGCAUAGAUCCGCCGUGAGACCUCCUGCGCCCAGUCUACCUUCCCUUUCGGGGUUCGUCGGGACGCCAUCCGUAUCGCGGGCAGAGCUACUCAACUGUGUGGCGGCCGGUGUAAUCGUUCCUCAUGUGUUCGCCUUGGGUCUAGCUUCGGGUUGCACGGGCUCCCUUCAAGGUUGUAGCAGUCGCACCCCGUGGGGACUUCCUCCGUCCAUGGCUUCGCUGCGGCGCAACUUGGUUAGUCGCCGGCGUUCAACCAGGAAGAGGAAGACGCGAUCUGGCUGUUGAUACGCUGAUGUGGGGCAAGGAUUAGAAAUUACCAUACCCCUUCGCUGAGUUCAUCUCGGUCGUGGAUUUCAAUCAGACGGCUCACAACUGAUUUAGGGUAGGUGAUUCCUUCACCGUCGAUCGUAGAUCCGACGUCUCACGUGGCACACUGGUUCGCUUCACUCUAGAUCUAAUCUGGGUCGUUGGAAUUUGAUCCAACAACAGGGAAACAGCCAUACCCCUUUGGCCCUGUAAAAUUGUAUAAGAGACCCUGGAUAAUUAUAGAAUCAACAAGCCAUCCACAUUCACUGUUCA
Zea mays is the source of this 987-nucleotide long non-coding RNA. RefSeq lists it as uncharacterized. The transcript has 2 exons. NCBI's taxonomy places the organism in Eukaryota, Viridiplantae, Streptophyta, Magnoliopsida, Poales, Poaceae. The record is from RefSeq and is a predicted model, not a curated record.